Molecule: ribosomal RNA, 1123 nt
Filed under: uncultured bacterium
Lineage: Bacteria
Description: bacterial SSU rRNA
Rfam family: Bacterial small subunit ribosomal RNA
Source: RNAcentral
AUUGAUUUUAUGCUUGCAUAAAUGAUUUUUGGAUUCGGAGCGAGUGGCGAACUGGUGAGUAACACGUGGGUAACCUGCCCCGAAGCGGGGGAUAACAUUUGGAAACAAGUGCUAAUACCGCAUAAUUAGUUGGAACCGCAUGGUUCCAACUUGAAAGAUGGCUCUGCUAUCACUUUGGGAUGGACCCGCGCCGUAUUAGUUAGUUGGUGAGAUAAAAGCCCACCAAGACGAUGAUACGUAGCCGACCUGAGAGGGUAAUCGGCCACAUUGGGACUGAGACACGGCCCAGACUCCUACGGGAGGCAGCAGUAGGGAAUCUUCCACAAUGGACGAAAGUCUGAUGGAGCAACGCCGCGUGAGUGAUGAAGGUUUUCGGAUCGUAAAACUCUGUUGUUAAAGAAGAACAAGUGUUAGAGUAACUGUUAACACUUUGACGGUAUUUAACCAGAAAGCCACGGCUAACUACGUGCCAGCAGCCGCGGUAAUACGUAGGUGGCAAGCGUUGUCCGGAUUUAUUGGGCGUAAAGCGAGCGCAGGCGGUUUUGUAAGUCUGCUGUGAAAGCCCUCAGCUCAACUGAGGAAGUGCAGUGGAAACUACAAAACUUGAGUACAGAAGAGGAAAGUGGAACUCCAUGUGUAGCGGUGAAAUGCGUAGAUAUAUGGAAGAACAUCAGUGGCGAAGGCGGCUUUCUGGUCUGUUACUGACGCUGAGGCUCGAAAGCAUGGGUAGCGAACAGGAUUAGAUACCCUGGUAGUCCAUGCCGUAAACGAUGAAUACUAGGUGUUGGAGGGUUUCCGCCCUUCAGUGCCGCAGCUAACGCAUUAAGUAUUCCGCCUGGGGAGUACGACCGCAAGGUUGAAACUCAAAGGAAUUGACGGGGGCCCGCACAAGUGGUGGAGCAUGUGGUUUAAUUCGAUGCUACGCGAAGAACCUUACCAGCUCUUGACAUCUUCUGCCAACCCAAGAGAUUGGGCGUUUCCUUCGGGGACAGAAUGACAGGUGGUGCAUGGUUGUCGUCAGCUCGUGUCGUGAGGUGUUGGGUUAAGUCCCGCAACGAGCGCAACCCUUAUUAUUAGUUGCCAGCAUUUAGUUGGGCACUCUAGUGAGACUGCCGGUGAUAAA